UCCAAUUUUCUGCCCCGAAUACAUUAGCAUGGGAUAAUGGAAUAGGACCCUGUCCUCCUAUUUUCAGUUGGUUUUGGCAGCGCGAGGACUAGGGUAAUGAUUAAUAGGGAAAGUUGGGGGCAUUAAUAUUUAAUUGUCACAGGUGAAAUUCUUGGAUUUAUGAAAGAUUAACUUCUGCGAAAGCAUCUGCCAAGGAUGUUUUCAUUAAUCAAGAACGAAUGUUAGGGGAUCGAAUACGAUCACAUACCGCCGUAUUCUUAACCAUAACCUAUGCCUACCACCGAUUAGGAGACGUUGAAUACAAAACACCACCAUCGGCGCGGUCGUCCUUGGCGUCUGUUUUCUUCGGCGGGCCCGGGGACGGGGUCGCCUUGGCCCGCCGGCGCCUGUCUCUGUCUCCCUAUGGGAUAAGGACAA
Molecule: ribosomal RNA, 417 nt
Filed under: Acanthamoeba genotype T4
Lineage: Eukaryota; Discosea; Longamoebia; Acanthamoebidae
Description: SSU rRNA
Rfam family: Eukaryotic small subunit ribosomal RNA (bases 1-346)
Source: RNAcentral